This 385-nucleotide ribosomal RNA is filed under the name uncultured bacterium. Its description in RNAcentral is "bacterial SSU rRNA". It matches the Rfam family "Bacterial small subunit ribosomal RNA", at positions 29 to 415 of the family's 1533-position model. The record is from RNAcentral.
AUUGAACGCUGGCGGCAUGCCUUACACAUGCAAGUCGAACGGCAGCGCGGGAGCAAUCCUGGCGGCGAGUGGCGAACGGGUGAGUAAUAUAUCGGAACGUGCCCAGUAGUGGGGGAUAGCCCGGCGAAAGCCGGGUUAAUACCGCAUGAGACCUGAGGGUGAAAGCGGGGGAUCGCAAGACCUCGCGCUAUUGGAGCGGCCGAUAUCAGAUUAGCUAGUUGGUGGGGUAAAGGCCUACCAAGGCAACGAUCUGUAGUUGGUCUGAGAGGACGACCAGCCACACUGGGACUGAGACACGGCCCAGACUCCUACGGGAGGCAGCAGUGGGGAAUUUUGGACAAUGGGCGCAAGCCUGAUCCAGCAAUGCCGCGUGCAGGAAGAAGGC